RNAcentral lists this ribosomal RNA (892 nucleotides) under uncultured bacterium. Its description in RNAcentral is "bacterial SSU rRNA". It matches the Rfam family "Bacterial small subunit ribosomal RNA", at positions 505 to 1397 of the family's 1533-position model. The record is from RNAcentral.
GUGCCAGCAGCCGCGGUAAUACGUAGGUGGCAAGCGUUGUCCGGAUUUAUUGGGCGUAAAGCGAGCGCAGGCGGUUUCUUAAGUCUGAUGUGAAAGCCUUCGGCUCAACCGAAGAAGUGCAUCGGAAACUGGGAAACUUGAGUGCAGAAGAGGACAGUGGAACUCCAUGUGUAGCGGUGAAAUGCGUAGAUAUAUGGAAGAACACCAGUGGCGAAGGCGGCUGUCUGGUCUGUAACUGACGCUGAGGCUCGAAAGCAUGGGUAGCAAACAGGAUUAGAUACCCUGGUAGUCCAUGCCGUAAACGAUGAGUGCUAGGUGCUGGAGGGUUUCCGCCCUUCAGUGCCGCAGCUAACGCAUUAAGCACUCCGCCUGGGGAGUACGACCGCAAGGUUGAAACUCAAAGGAAUUGACGGGGGCCCGCACAAGCGGUGGAGCAUGUGGUUUAAUUCGAAGCAACGCGAAGAACCUUACCAGGUCUUGACAUCCUUUGACCACUCUAGAGAUAGAGCUUUCCCUUCGGGGACAAAGUGACAGGUGGUGCAUGGUUGUCGUCAGCUCGUGUCGUGAGAUGUUGGGUUAAGUCCCGCAACGAGCGCAACCCUUAUUACUAGUUGCCAGCAUUUAGUUGGGCACUCUAGUGAGACUGCCGGUGACAAACCGGAGGAAGGUGGGGACGACGUCAAAUCAUCAUGCCCCUUAUGACCUGGGCUACACACGUGCUACAAUGGAUGGUACAACGAGUUGCGAGACCGCGAGGUUUAGCUAAUCUCUUAAAACCAUUCUCAGUUCGGAUUGUAGGCUGCAACUCGCCUACAUGAAGCCGGAAUCGCUAGUAAUCGCGGAUCAGCAUGCCGCGGUGAAUACGUUCCCGGGCCUUGUACACACCGCCCGU